This 454-nucleotide ribosomal RNA is filed under the name uncultured bacterium. RNAcentral's name for it is "partial 16S ribosomal RNA". It matches the Rfam family "Bacterial small subunit ribosomal RNA", at positions 28 to 507 of the family's 1533-position model. The record is from RNAcentral.
GAUGAACGCUGACAGAAUGCUUAACACAUGCAAGUCAACUUGAACUUCGGUUUGGGUGGCGGCCGGGUGAGUAACGCGUAAAGAACUUGCCUCACAGAUAGGGACAACAUUUGGAAACGAAUGCUAAUACCUGAUAUUAUGAUUAUAUGGCAUCGUAUAAUUAUGAAAGCUAUAUGCGCUGUGAGAGAGCUUUGCGUCCCAUUAGCUAGUUGGAGAGGUAACGGCUCACCAAGGCGAUGAUGGGUAGCCGGCCUGAGAGGGUGAUCGGCCACAAGGGGACUGAGACACGGCCCUUACUCCUACGGGAGGCAGCAGUGGGGAAUAUUGGACAAUGGACCAAGAGUCUGAUCCAGCAAUUCUGUGUGCACGAUGAAGUUUUCCGGAAUGUAAAGUGCUUUCAGUUGGGAAGAAAAAAAUGACGGUACCAACAGAAGAAGUGACGGCUAAAUACGUG